AGAAAAUGAGCUCUCCUGGGAGAUGGAGGUGCAAAACGCUGCUGCUUCUGACAGCAGGGAGAAGUGGCACCUUCAGCUCUGGAAUACAACUGCUGCCAAACUCUCCAUAGAACGGUUCAAGACACAGCAGGUCAUGCAGGCUCAGGAGCAGGAAUGUCUCUGAUGGCUGACAAAUGGCGAAGAUAUUCUCUAUCACAUCAGACUCCAAGGUGUAAUUGCAGACUCUGCUCUAAAUGGCCCAGCAGCCCCAAGAGAUGGAAUGGCAUGCCAACAAUGCAAUCACCCUUAAGACAGACUGAGUGGUCAGGUGGAAAAGGGAAUGGAUCAAGGAAAGCGUGGCCAUGCCUACAAGGGAGGCCAGGAGAGCAGACAUCCUACAGACAUCCUUUUGGCACGCUGGGAUCCCUCCACCUACCUCACACAGCCUCAGUGCUCAGCUCCAGCGCUGCCUGAAACUGAUUCUGUAUCUUCACUAAUGCCUUGGUAAGUGAAUGGGAAAUGGCAUCAGACUAAGAGGAUGGAAGUACUCUGGGUUUGCAUCAAGGAUUUAAAAGCGUUUUGAAAGUCAAUUUGAUGAUAAUUAGUAGAGAUGAAUACAAAAUGUCCUUGUGAAGGAAAAAACUUAAAAUAUAAAACAACAAACCAGACAACAAAAAGAGGACAUAUUAACUCUCAGCAUGAAUAUGAACAAAAAAAAGCAACAAUGAAAAAGCAAAGAAGGAAGAAACACCUCAUCCUUGUGUGUUAAGUGCCAUAAACAGUACAUAACACCUUCUUCUAAUUACAUGGUGCUGAGGCAUCUGAGGGAGUGCUAUCUCCUUUUGGCUACUGUACAACAAGAGGAUUUACCCAAACUGGAAAGUGUGCAGAACAGGCUGAAAGAAAAGGGAACCGGUUGGGAAAAUCUGAUACAAGGUCAAAUUUGUUGGAUUUCCUGAAGUUAGACUAAGAACAGGCUGUAUUUAUACAGCAAAACGUAUUCACUCAUUGUUUGGCUGUCGUAGCUAAUAAAAAGCUAAAUAUCUCCCCAGGACUCCUCCCCUGCCACACACAUACACACAUCUCUGCUCCGGUUUUCAUACACAUCUGUGUCAAUGGACUGAGCUCAAUAAAGAAAUUCAUCACAUUGCCUGGAUGUGGCAUUUUCAGGGUGUAAUAUUUAUGUGUACUGUAGGCCACAAUACAAUUAAAGAAACUAGACUGAAAAAUAAGGAAAACUUCGUAGAAUUUUUUUUUCUUACAGUAAAUGCAUUUGCUGAAAAAGACACUAUUCUCUGGAAGAGGUUGAAGUGUAGCAAAUUGGCUUCAAGAAAAAUCACAAGACUUUCAAUAAAAAGACGAAAUAGGAACACUCUUAAGACAGCAGGUGGUAAAACGAGAUACAGGAACGUUCCCCCAUAUAAAGAAAUAAAACAAAACAGAGCUCUGUGAUUUUACUGCCAUUUCCCAGC
This 1451-nucleotide long non-coding RNA is filed under the name Gallus gallus (chicken). RNAcentral's name for it is "long non-coding RNA NONGGAT004682". Lineage: Eukaryota; Metazoa; Chordata; Aves; Galliformes; Phasianidae. The record is from RNAcentral.